CCUACGGGUGGCAGCAGUGAGGAAUAUUGGUCAAUGGCCGGGAGCCUGAACCAGCCAAGCAGCGUGAAGGAUGACUGUGCCACGCAUUGUAAACUUCUUUUGUCAAGGGAUAAAGUGAGGCCCGAGUGCCUGAUCGAGUGUACUUUAUGAAUAAGCAUCAGCUAACUCCGUGCCAGCAGCCGCGGUAAUACGGAGGAUCCGAGCGUUAUCCGGAUUUAUUGGGUUUAAAGGGUGAGUAGAUGGAUUGUUAAGUCAGCUGUGAAAGCUUGCGGCUCAACCGCAGGAGAGCGGUUGAUACUGGCAGUCUUGAGAUGACGAGAGGUAUGCGGAAUGCGUAGUGUAGCGGUGAAAUGCUUAGAUAUUGCGAAGAACUCCGAUUGCGAAGGCAGCAUAC
Molecule: ribosomal RNA, 394 nt
Filed under: uncultured bacterium
Lineage: Bacteria
Description: partial 16S ribosomal RNA
Rfam family: Bacterial small subunit ribosomal RNA
Source: RNAcentral